Molecule: ribosomal RNA, 1611 nt
Filed under: Escherichia coli
Lineage: Bacteria; Pseudomonadati; Pseudomonadota; Gammaproteobacteria; Enterobacterales; Enterobacteriaceae
Description: partial 23S ribosomal RNA
Rfam family: Bacterial large subunit ribosomal RNA
Source: RNAcentral
GAAUGCUGACAUAAGUAACGAUAAAGCGGGUGAAAAGCCCGCUCGCCGGAAGACCAAGGGUUCCUGUCCAACGUUAAUCGGGGCAGGGUGAGUCGACCCCUAAGGCGAGGCCGAAAGGCGUAGUCGAUGGGAAACAGGUUAAUAUUCCUGUACUUGGUGUUACUGCGAAGGGGGGACGGAGAAGGCUAUGUUGGCCGGGCGACGGUUGUCCCGGUUUAAGCGUGUAGGCUGGUUUUCCAGGCAAAUCCGGAAAAUCAAGGCUGAGGCGUGAUGACGAGGCACUACGGUGCUGAAGCGACAAAUGCCCUGCUUCCAGGAAAAGCCUCUAAGCAUCAGGUAACAUCAAAUCGUACCCCAAACCGACACAGGUGGUCAGGUAGAGAAUACCAAGGCGCUUGAGAGAACUCGGGUGAAGGAACUAGGCAAAAUGGUGCCGUAACUUCGGGAGAAGGCACGCUGAUAUGUAGGUGAAGCGACUUGCUCGUGGAGCUGAAAUCAGUCGAAGAUACCAGCUGGCUGCAACUGUUUAUUAAAAACACAGCACUGUGCAAACACGAAAGUGGACGUAUACGGUGUGACGCCUGCCCGGUGCCGGAAGGUUAAUUGAUGGGGUUAGCGGUAACGCGAAGCUCUUGAUCGAAGCCCCGGUAAACGGCGGCCGUAACUAUAACGGUCCUAAGGUAGCGAAAUUCCUUGUCGGGUAAGUUCCGACCUGCACGAAUGGCGUAAUGAUGGCCAGGCUGUCUCCACCCGAGACUCAGUGAAAUUGAACUCGCUGUGAAGAUGCAGUGUACCCGCGGCAAGACGGAAAGACCCCGUGAACCUUUACUAUAGCUUGACACUGAACAUUGAGCCUUGAUGUGUAGGAUAGGUGGGAGGCUUUGAAGUGUGGACGCCAGUCUGCAUGGAGCCGACCUUGAAAUACCACCCUUUAAUGUUUGAUGUUCUAACGUGGGCCCCUUACCGGGGUUGCGGACAGUGUCUGGUGGGUAGUUUGACUGGGGCGGUCUCCUCCUAAAGAGUAACGGAGGAGCACGAAGGUUGGCUAAUCCUGGUCGGACAUCAGGAGGUUAGUGCAAUGGCAUAAGCCAGCUUGACUGCGAGCGUGACGGCGCGAGCAGGUGCGAAAGCAGGUCAUAGUGAUCCGGUGGUUCUGAAUGGAAGGGCCAUCGCUCAACGGAUAAAAGGUACUCCGGGGAUAACAGGCUGAUACCGCCCAAGAGUUCAUAUCGACGGCGGUGUUUGGCACCUCGAUGUCGGCUCAUCACAUCCUGGGGCUGAAGUAGGUCCCAAGGGUAUGGCUGUUCGCCAUUUAAAGUGGUACGCGAGCUGGGUUUAGAACGUCGUGAGACAGUUCGGUCCCUAUCUGCCGUGGGCGCUGGAGAACUGAGGGGGGCUGCUCCUAGUACGAGAGGACCGGAGUGGACGCAUCACUGGUGUUCGGGUUGUCAUGCCAAUGGCACUGCCCGGUAGCUAAAUGCGGAAGAGAUAAGUGCUGAAAGCAUCUAAGCACGAAACUUGCCCCGAGAUGAGUUCUCCCUGACUCCUUGAGAGUCCUGAAGGAACGUUGAAGACGACGACGUUGAUAGGCCGGGUGUGUAAGCGCAGCGA